This 21-nucleotide non-coding RNA is filed under the name Arabidopsis thaliana (thale cress). Lineage: Eukaryota; Viridiplantae; Streptophyta; Magnoliopsida; Brassicales; Brassicaceae. The record is from RNAcentral.
UAAGACUACCAUUGCUCGUGC